RNAcentral lists this ribosomal RNA (458 nucleotides) under uncultured Flexibacteraceae bacterium. RNAcentral describes it as "bacterial SSU rRNA". It matches the Rfam family "Bacterial small subunit ribosomal RNA", at positions 31 to 497 of the family's 1533-position model. The record is from RNAcentral. Lineage: Bacteria; Pseudomonadati; Bacteroidota; Cytophagia; Cytophagales; Cytophagaceae.
GAACGCUAGCGGCAGGCCUAAUACAUGCAAGUCGAACGGUGGUAGCAAUACCAUAGUGGCGCACGGGUGCGUAACGCGUAACCAACCUGCCCUUGACUGGGGGAUAGCCCGCCGAAAGGCGGAUUAAUACCGCAUAUACCAGCAGCCUGGCAUCAGGCAAUUGGGAAAGAUUUAUUGGUCAAGGAUGGGGUUGCGUAGCAUUAGCUAGUUGGCGGGGUAACGGCCCACCAAGGCGACGAUGCUUAGGGGACCUGAGAGGGUGAUCCCCCACACUGGCACUGAGAUACGGGCCAGACUCCUACGGGAGGCAGCAGUAGGGAAUAUUGGGCAAUGGACGAGAGUCUGACCCAGCCAUGCCGCGUGCCGGAUGAAGGCCUUCUGGGUUGUAAACGGCUUUUCUCAGGGAAGAAAAAGCUCCUGCGGGAGACACUGACGGUACCUGAGGAAUAAGCACCGGC